Molecule: long non-coding RNA, 1031 nt
Organism: Hyaena hyaena (striped hyena)
Lineage: Eukaryota; Metazoa; Chordata; Mammalia; Carnivora; Hyaenidae
Exons: 2
Source: RefSeq, a predicted model, not a curated record
CCCUGAGGCCCUAGGAAAGCGGAAGUCGCGGCAUGAAGCUGAAUUCCACGGAUGUCAAGGGCAUGUUUCCUGCGGGACGACCUGGGGAAACCAGGUGACCAUGCGGCCGUGCUAGCUGUCUAGCUGGGUCUCCAGCCGUGAGCGUACGUGUCCAAGGGCAAGCCGGCAGCCCUGUGAUUACCCUUGAGAAGCCGCGGGGAUCCGCCUGUCAUUUGAAAUGAAGACAGGUACCACUGUGAGCCAGGUGGAGCGAGCCUUCAGCCAGCAGCUGGGAUAAUGCUUCUUGGGAAAGAAGCCUCGUGUGAAGCGGCUUGCAGGCCCCUGGACGCAGGGGACUGGACAGGACGGAGCAAGUCUGCAAAGCCACGUACUGAUUUGUUGGACACAACGGCAGCCACGGAUUUUGGAAAUCUGAUACAGGAAAAACAGGAUAUGAAUACUGAUUUAGUAGUUUUCAUCUUCUAAAUUUAUUGAAUUUCCAUACAGUAAGCCCCUAACAUGUACCAGGAACUGGGUCUGAGGUGGAGAAGCUAUGCGAGUCCCCAAGGGGCGCAGACUACACAAGACACCAUCCAAAGUCACCGCCAUGUUAAUGACACAUGUUCCGAUGGCCAUGCCAGAGCACUGCCCAGACAGGCAAGGUGGGCAGAGAAGUCUUCCUGGAGGAGGCGCGGUGGCUGGGACUUGAAGGAAGAACAGCCUUCUCUGUGAGGUGCACGCAGUGCUCAGAACCGAGGAGAACGCGUCUGUAACCAGGCUGGAGGGGCCGGCGGGGACGAGGGCCCGUCCAGCCCAGGCGGGGUGGCAGCGGCCUGCCCUGCAGCCCAGGGGCUGGAGCCCCGCGAGCCGGGUUCACCGCUCUUGCACAUCUCCCGGCAAGGCUGGCCUCGCAGUCCCAAGGGGCGGCCAGACCCCGCGGCGCAGACGGUGUUGGCUAAAGUGCACACUCCCAGGACCACAUCGGUGUUCUUACAGUUUUCUCCAACUUGGUUCUUCUAUUCUUAAAAUAGUAAAAUGCAUUUCUUUGAAAA